CAAAAGAGGGACUACAGCUACUAAAUAUGUCGGCUACUCAGUUAUUGGAGAACAAACAGACAUAUUUCUUUCUGGAUAUCUGGAAUAAGGGAAGGAUAAAAGAUGAUGCUUCAAUCUUUCAUAAAAACUCAGCAACUGAUUUCACUUGGCGCUGGCGAGUUGAGUUCGGAGGAGCUUUGCAGCAGCAACCAUGUUCUUGAGAGCAGGAUUCACCUCCGCGUACUUGCGAGUUUUGAGACCACAGUCUGGAUUGACCCAUAAGAUGUUGGUUUCAAGCACUGCAAGCAUCUUGUUGAUCCGGUCUGCGAUCUCUUCGGUUGAUGGUAUUCUAGGGGAGUGAAUGUCGUACACACCGGGGCCAAUUCCAG
RNAcentral lists this unclassified non-coding RNA (368 nucleotides) under Hevea brasiliensis (rubber tree). Lineage: Eukaryota; Viridiplantae; Streptophyta; Magnoliopsida; Malpighiales; Euphorbiaceae. The record is from RNAcentral.